This 253-nucleotide ribosomal RNA is filed under the name uncultured bacterium. Its description in RNAcentral is "partial 16S ribosomal RNA". It matches the Rfam family "Bacterial small subunit ribosomal RNA", at positions 524 to 776 of the family's 1533-position model. The record is from RNAcentral.
UACGUAGGGGGCAAGCGUUGUCCGGAUUUAUUGGGCGUAAAGAGCGUGUAGGCGGCCAGGUAGGUCCGUUGUGAAAACUCGAGGCUUAACCUCGAGACGUCGAUGGAAACCAUCUGGCUAGAGUCCGGAAGAGGAGAGUGGAAUUCCUGGUGUAGCGGUGAAAUGCGCAGAUAUCAGGAAGAACACCCGUGGCUAAGGCGGUUCUCUAGUACGGUACUGACGCUGAGACGCGAAAGCGUGGGGAGCGAACAGG